Molecule: microRNA precursor, 102 nt
Filed under: Pan troglodytes (chimpanzee)
Lineage: Eukaryota; Metazoa; Chordata; Mammalia; Primates; Hominidae
Description: miRNA
Source: RNAcentral
CAGCCCUGGGAUUAUGCAGUAUAAUACCCAGUAUUACUUAGGACAAAUUUAGACACAAUAUUGUUGACAUAAUUUAAAUAAUGUUUCUUUCCCCUAUUCCAG